AUGAUGGGGAGGUUUCGGGCUAAGCUCAAUGCUUUGGAACUAAAAGAGAUAUACUUGAACGACAGAAGAUACACCUGGUCAAACGAACGAAGAGUGGCUACCUUGGAGAAGAUCGAUCAUGUCUUUGCUUCGAAUGACUGGGACGAGGCCUAUCCAACAAGUUUCCUUUCUGCGUUGGGCACGGCUGUGUCUGAUCAUUGCCCACUGAUGCUGGAUAUGAAUGUGAGCAUUAAUAUGAAGAGUCGUUUCAAGUUUGAGUCGUUCUGGAUUCGAGCCCCGGGUUUCAUGGAUGUAGUAAAGCUGGCUUGGUCCACCACACCUGUAGCCAACAAUGACUACCUCACGCUGCAUAACAAGUUAAGGGCAACUGCUGUGAGCCUCCAAAGGUGGAGUGACCGUUGGAUCGGCAAUGUGAAAUUGCAAAUUUUGGUUGCACUUGAAGUUAUCAAACAGCUUGACGUGGCCAUGGAGACAAGGACGCUAUCUGAUGCUGAGAGGGCACUGAGGAAGUGUCUAAAGAAGAAGCUGCUGGGUUUGAGCUCUCUAGAGAGGACGAUAGUAAGGCAAAGAUCAAGGCUGUUGCAACUACGUGAGGGUGACGGAAAUACUAGGCCUUUCCAUCAGCAAGCCAGUCAUAGGCAAAGAAAGAAUAUCAUAAGAGUUGUGAAGCACAACGGCAACCUGUACUCUGGGCAGGACGAGGUGGCAUCGGCGGUGGACACAUACUUCGGUGCAGCUUUUGGCGAUGCGGAGGAGAGGUCACAUGCCCUCAACCUUGACAUGUUGGGCUUGCUGCACCUGGACUUACAUCACUUGGAGAGCCCGUUCAUGGAUGAGGAAGUGGAGAAAGUAAUCAAGAGCAUGCCCAUGGACAAAGCUCCGGGGCCGGAUGGGUUCACUGGUCAUUUUUAUGCAACUUGCUGGGACAUAAUCAAGGUGGAUUUCAUGAGAGCGAUGAACAGUUUCUACAAGGGGGACAUGAGAGGUUUGGCCGCAAUCAAUAAGUCCCUUGUCUCACUUUUGCCAAAGAAGGAGGGGGCUUUGGAGGUGAGGGACUUCCGGCCUAUAAACCUUGUCCACGGGGCCAUCAAGAUCUUUGAAAAGGUUUUGGCCAGUCGGUUGGUGGAGGAUCUCCCCAAGUUGGUUGGGAACCACCAAAGUGCAUUCGUUAAGGGCAGAUCGCUGCAUGACAACUUCAUGCUUGUGCAGAGCAUGGCACGACGCUUGCAUGCUUUGAGGAGUUCAAGUGUGCUGCUAAAGCUAGAUAUAUCUAAAGCUUUUGACUCCGUUCAAUGGCCUUUUCUUAUUGAGGUGUUGAAUCAAAUGGGCUUCGGACCAAGGUGGAGGUCUUGGAUAUGCGGGAUACUUGCAACAUCGACCACCAAGAUCAUGGUGAAUGGUGAGCCGGGAGACACGAUAUAA
Molecule: ribosomal RNA, 1422 nt
Filed under: Triticum aestivum (bread wheat)
Lineage: Eukaryota; Viridiplantae; Streptophyta; Magnoliopsida; Poales; Poaceae
Description: partial small subunit ribosomal RNA
Source: RNAcentral